RNAcentral lists this long non-coding RNA (7753 nucleotides) under Brassica napus (rape). Its description in RNAcentral is "long non-coding RNA (BNAP_LNC024209)". The record is from RNAcentral. Lineage: Eukaryota; Viridiplantae; Streptophyta; Magnoliopsida; Brassicales; Brassicaceae.
UCAUUAAAGUCACCUUAUAUUAGAGGAAACAAAUUUGUUAUCUAAGAAAAACAAUGUCUUUACUAAAUAUAAACACAAAUAUACACAUAUAUAUACAUAAUUUUGUAGCCAUUGUUUUUCCUAUAUCUAGUAAAAUAAUUCUUUCCUGAUCAGUUGUAACAAAGCAAUUUCAACCUUUUUUUACUUCACAAUAUCUUUAAAAAUGUCUCAUUUUAUUCCAACAACAUAUGUCAUAUUUCUUGUUGUUUGUUUUAUGUGUUUUGAACCUUGCGCCCAUGCAAGAAAUUUUAAUUCUCCGGGCAUCGAAAAUGUCAAUCCAUUCACAUCAACAAUGAAAGUCGCAGAAGAAAACAUUAAGAAGAAUGUUCCUAAAAGAGAAAAUGGUUAUACAACGGCUAGUAUAAUCAAUGGAAAUUAUGCAAGUGGACCCGAUCCGAGUGGAAGAGGACAUGGUAGACCGCCAACUCCACCACACCAUUGAAAAACAAUCGUUUGAACUGUACAUGGUGGAUAUAAUGUGAAUUAGAUAAUAAUAAUUAAUAAUUAAUAAAAAGUUGUGAAAGUUGGAUUUUGUUCAUAUAUAAUGAAAUCAAAUAAUAAACCAACUGAAAAUAAAGAAAACAAAUAAUACAUUUAACAAUAGAAAUUAUUGUGUAUAUUUUAUAGUUAUACAGAAAAUGUAAACAUCAAAAUUUAAUUUGAACCAAACGAAAAUUAAGAUUAUCAAAAUUGAUCAGAUAGUUGUUUUUUCCCCUCUCAAACUCAAUCAAACUGAAAUUAAUAUCAACCCAUUUUUAAAUUAAAACAAGGUUUAAAAACCUUUUCACUAGUUAAUAUAAAAUACCUAAAUUUUUAUAAAAAUAAUUAUGUUAAACUAGACACGAUUGGAAAAGGCAAAUCGAUUGCGAAAACAACAUAAAUAAUAUCCGUGGACAAAAUUAGAACACCAUAUGCAAACUUGUUCAUCAUUGUAUUUUUUUCUUGAUAUAUGUUGACUCACAAAUCUUAGAAAAAUCAUCGCUAAAAUUCUUCAGAGUAAGCCGAUCACUAUAUUGAUAACACCAUAUUUACCAGUUCAGAAAAACCUAUUACAAAAACUAAAUCAAAAUCUUUAGGGGGGCCGUAUAUAUAAAAUUGUGAUCAAUUAUUUAAGGAUAUUUUUUGUUCUCUUAGUUUCUUUUGUAUGAAUCCUCUAAACAUUAUUUGCAAAGUGAUUUUGACACAUGUCUUCUCUACAAUCAUUUUAACCAAAUAAAUAUGACAUGACAUGCUACAAUUAUGACAUGACUUAUGAUUAAAUGUGACAUGAACAAUUACAUUGAAUGCUUAUUUAUAUUUUUGGUAAACUCUUUAGAAUAUAUGGUAGUAAAUUAUACACUAUCAUUAAAGUAAAUCUAUUAAAGUAUGAUAUUAAAUAAUAUAACAAUAAAAUUAUAAUUAUAUUUUAUAAAUUCUGAAAUAUUAUUUAUUUCUAAUUUUGAAUAAUUAUACAAUUUAUAACUAAAAAGAAUUCCAAAAUCUUUUACAAUUUUUUUUUAAAUUAUAAUUUUUUUAUCGUAAUAUUAUUAGUUUCUAUUAUAUACCAUUUUACUAUUGAUAAUUAUAAAACUUGUAUAUCAUUUUUAUUAAUUUUAUACAAUUUAAUUUAAUAUAUUUUAUCCAAAAGAAAUAGAUAAAAUUCUAUUUCAUAUUAUUAUUUUAAAUAUAUACAUAUCUAUUCUUAGAUAUAAUUUAAAAUAAACAAAAUUAUUUAUUUUAACUUAAUUUUGUGUUCGGUUGAAAUAUUAUUAAGACAUAAUAAAAUUUAAAAAAUAAUAAACUUUAUUUUAAAAAUAAUUUUAAUUUAAAAUUUUUAUUCCUGCACAUUGGUGCUUUUAAACAGUAUAAACUUUAAUAAUUUAAUUUUAUCUUAACUAAUAAAGAAAUACAAUUCAUAUAACAAAAUUAUAGUCUAUUUUACAUAUCUUUAAUAUUUGAAUGGUUUAGGAGAUAAACUUUAAAUAAUAUAACUAGUAGUGUUUCUCUUCUUCCUCUACAAAUUAGCCCCUAAAGGGUUAUUAGACCCUUUUGGAGAUUUUAAAUAGAGGUUUUGGUUUUCACAUGCGAUGAGAUUGCGAUGCCGAAGGCGACUUAGAUCUAGGGUUUCGAUGCGGUUUCGGGGAUGGGAUGUGGGGAGACUAAGGGAUGGAUUGGAGCGGGUUUUUCCUGCUCUUUACCAGGAUAAUGGUUUUGGAAAGCAAAGGAAUGGGAACGGCGAUCCACAGCGAGAAGAUCGAACAAGAUUUAUGGGUUUUAAUGGAAACAGUGGAUUACUAGGGCCUGGGUUUUAGGGCGUUUUACGGAUAGAAUCGAUCUAUGGUUAUCUCAGGUCUCCAAUUGGUGAUCUCCCAGAUUUUCAAGGUAUGAUUUGGUGUCUAUUCUUUAGGAGAUCGUUUUGGAUUGGCUGGGGGUUUCCACAAAGGAAUCACCGAUAUUUGAGAAUUGAUGAUUGGAAAGCCAGGAUUUGGUUUCUUAUUCUCAUCAGAAUCAACGAGAUGUUCGAAGAUUUCUCAGAUGAAUUUCAAGAUCUCUCGGAAGGUGAGAUCGAGGAAAAGGACAAGGAAUGCAUUAAGAUACUGUCUGGUGAAGAUUUCUUAAGUGAGAAUGCUGAGGAAGAUAACCAGAUUGGAGAUAAGGAAGAUAAAGGCCCAGUUACGCUGGAAAUGGACAAAGAGCAGGGGGCUAGGAUGAUGCUGUUUAAGAGCCAGAAUGUAGCAGGUGGAACCAUGAAGAAGAGAAUGGUACAAGGGCUAGUAUCUCCUCGCAAACGUCCUUCGGCUAAAGCGGGUAUCCGACAAGGUGAUGGUUUUAAAAAGGUAGAAGAGACGGUCCCUCAAACCCUUUACCGAGCUCAUCAAAACCCUGAUUUUAUGGAUCGAUCCUUUGAAGAAGAGAAGCUAUGGUGGCAGAUACUGAGAGAGCAGAUGUCCAGAGGCUGUUACCGUUGGUUUCGAUCGGUCUGUUUGGUCAUCAGAAGAAACAUGGAAAAGCUGAAAUACUGGUCUUCAGUGGAGGAAAAUAUUUUGCUCUUGGCCUCAUUAAGCCACAAGUGAAGUCAAACCUUGUUCCUAUAUUGGAAUAAUAAAAAUGUAAGGUGUCCGAAUGGUGAAUGGGAGUUUAAUUGUGGUGUCUCAUUGGUCACAAUUAAUUACCAAAGGAAAGACAGAGAGUGUCGAGGAUAUGGGGUGAAUAAUCAGACUCAGGGGUACGUGAGUCUCACGUCAAAAUUAAUGAUGGUUUAUAAAUGUUUUGGACACUUAUGGUUUCUUCGUAUCCAGCUGUAUUGCUCAACAGAGCUAAUCAGUAUAAAUUUGAGGCGGCUUCUCUGCUGGAAUAAUAGAUGUAUGGGUCGUAAAUGGACGAUAAUUUAUCUUAGGGAGAUCUGGUACAAACAUAAACCAGACUUUUUAUAUUUAUCAGAAACGGAAAAAGAUACAACUUUUGUUGCUUUUUAUGCUUCUUGUAUCUCUCUUUGGAUAUGGUUGAUAUGGACUGUGAAAGACUUGGUAAUGUAUUGGUAUAUAUUUAGGUGGAGGGAGAGAUAUUGGUCUUUGGAUGACUUUGCAAGCAUAUCAAGUCUCCAUAUUAAUGCAGCCAAAUCGUCCUAAUAUGCACCAGGAAGUGGAAUAGCUAACGUAUGUGAGGAAGCUGAGAGAGCUGGAAUUGAAGUGGGACAGCUUCCGAUCAGAUACAUGGGUCUGCCAUUGACUUCAAAGGCUCUUUCUAAGGAGGAUUAUGAGCCUUUGAUAGAUAAAAUCAGAACUCGAAUUCUGUCGUGGACCAACAAGAGCUUAUCUUAUGCAGGGCGCUUGCAGCUUCUCAACUCAGUCAUCUCCAGCAUAGUGAGCUUCUGGAGCUCUGCUUUUAUAUAUUACCUAUGGCCUGUUUGGAUACAAUAGAGAGCCUCUGCAGUGCAUUUAUAUGGGCAGGAGAUCCUCAUCAGACCCAUAAGGCGAAAGUUAAAUGGGAAGACUUGUGUUAUCCAAAAUCAGAGGGAGGAUUGGGCAUUCGGAGACUGCAAGAUACUGUUAGAGUCUUUGCUCUUAGUCUGAUAUGGCAAUUUUUUAAUAUGUCAGACUCACUAUGGGUUUCAUGGGUUCAACAUUAUCUUUUGCAUCAUAGUUCAUUCUGGGAUGUUCGGGAAGAGACAACAGGUUCCUGGAUAUGGAGGAAACUCCUUAAGUUGUGUCCUCUGGCCUAUCAGUUCAUCAGGGUGGAAGUUGGUAAUGGUGAGAAAGCUUUCUUUUGGCAUGAUGAUUGGUUGCGAAUCAGGAAACUUAUUGAGUUAACAGGAGCAACUGGCACAAGGUAUCUAGGAAUAGUUCGUAGUGCUCGGGUGUGUGAUGCUGUGGCUCAAGGCCAAUGGAGAGUGAGGGGACAGAGAAGCCGGCAUUUCCAAGAUUUACAUGCCAAAAUACAAGCAGAACCGGUACCUAAUCAGUGCAUGGGAGAGGAUAGGUUUCUAUGGAGGCACGAAACAGAGGUUUAUAAGGACUCUUACUCAGCUUCAAGAACAUGGGAACAGCUUCGACGCAAGAAAGAAGAAGUGAAUUGGAGUAGUAGUGUGUGGUUCAAACAAGGUGUUCCUCGGUUUGCAUUUAUUGUGUUGCUUGCUAUUCAGAAUAGGCUCUCUACGGGAGACAGAAUGAGGCAGUGGAGAAUUCAGCAAGGUUGUGUCCUUUGUGGAGAGAGAGAUAAGACGCGCGAUCACUUGUUUUUCGCUUGUCCUUACUCUUAUACCGUCUGGGAUAGAGUCGUUGGCAAGCUUAUAGGACGGAGAAUCAAUCCUGACUGGUCUGAUAUGCUCAGAUAUAUUCGAAAUGGAGCAGCCAAUCUUAAGAAUCAGGUGCUCAUCAGUUUGCUCUUUCAAGUGGUGGUUUAUCAUAUCUGGCGUGAACGCAAUCUAAGGAGAAAUCAACAAGGCCAGAAGGGGACUGAGCUGAUGAUUAGUACAAUCAAUAAGACAGUAAAAAAUAGGAUCUCUUCUUUGGGUUAUGAGGCAGAUCAUAGAUUGGAAGGACUUCUUCGGAGAUGGUUCGAGGUUUUUGAUUGAGUUUGGAGCAUGGAGCUUGGACAAUGGAGCUAUUAACACAAAUUUUCUUUUCUUCCUACAUAUAGAUAUAAGAACCAUUAUUCCUUUUUAGGUUUCAUUCUUUGUAAAUCCUUUUAGUUGAUGAUCAAUAAAUCAAAAUUUCAUCAAAAAAAAAAAUAAUUCAUUAAGGAUAAGAAAGAGUUUAACCGCUUUAACUUAUGAUGUGGGAUCUCGAAUGCGAGAAAUCACUUCACAAAUAUAAAAAAAAAAUCAUCGUUAAUAUUCUUCAGAGUAAUCCGAUCACUAUAUUGAUAAUGCCAUAUCUACCAGUUCAGAAAAUUAUAUUUCAAAAACUAAAUCAAAAUCUUUAGGGGGGCCUAUAUAGAAAACUGCAAUCAAAUUUUUUAGGAUAUUCUUUGUUCUCUUAUUUUCUUUUGUAUGAAUUAACUAAUAAAGAAAUACAAUUCAUAAAACAAAAUCUUAGUCUAUUUUACAUAUCUUUAAUAUUUGAAUGGUUUAGGAGAUAAACUUUAAAUAAUAUGUCAAGUAUUUUCUAUAGUAAAUAAUUGAUAAGACUUAUAAUAAUAUGUCGAGUAUUUUCUAUAGGAAAUAAUUUACAUCUGGUUCUAAGGAUUGAAAGUUUUCAGUUAUUGGUAGAUUUUAGGACCUUCCAAAUCUUAUAGGGGUACGUAGUUUAUGUUCUUGAUCCUGUUUUCUCAAGAGUUUUUAAGUGCUAUUUUCUUCGGCUUAGAUUUUAACCAAAGUAAACAACCUCUGUCUUUUGAUUUUGGCUUGCACUGCAUUGAAAAUGGGUCUAAACCGGCUAGAAAUGAAAGUUGCAUUGAGCUUGUGAAUAAUAACAUUGUGGGUUUCGAAAGAUGUUAAAAUGUCUAAACCAUUUGCGCAAAUUACACUUUAGAAGAUAAAAUAACAAUUAACAAAAUAUAUCACUAUUCUUAUUAAAUAUAGACUUUGAAAAUGAGAUUUUGGUUGAUAUCCAAAGAACUUUCAAGAGGAAGUAUCAUAAAAUAUUAAAAAUAGAAAUCAAACGCAAACACUUUUUCAUAAAUUAAUGACCAUACAUUUUUUUUUUGUUCUGAAAUGGAAUGUUCUAAAUAUUAACAUUAAAAUUUACUUAAAAAUUUAAUAAAUUUAUUUGCUUGGAUAAUCAAUUUGUUUCUUUUGAGAUAAUGUGAUCUUCGAUAUAUUGAAUAAUUAAUUAUUCGCUUACAUUAUUUACAAAUUGAUUACUUAUGUCACAUGUUUACAAUCAUAUCAUGUCACAUGUUUACAAUCGUAUCAUAUCAUAGGUUUAAAAUCGUAUCACAAAACAAAUUUAACAAGCUUUAAAAAAAUGACAUAUUUUUAACAAAACAUGAUAAGUCAUAUUGUUUUAAUAAUUUUCAUUUUCUAGUAAAAUAAUUCUUACAAAAUCUCACUAUAGACACAUGAACUCCUUAGUUAAUUGUUUUUAAUUAGUUAAAUUAAUAAAGGAAAUCACAGUCCUCAAAAGAUUAACUAAAGUAAAAUUAAUUAAAUUAAUUAACUAAUAUUUUAAGAAUAUUAGUUUUGCUUAUUAGUUUUAGUUAAUUAAAUAACUGAAAACAUCUUACAAAAUAACUACUUAAAAUACUUAAAGCUUGCUAACUAAAAAUAAGUAUAUUAUUUAAUAUUACUAAAUUUUGUUUUAAUUAGUUAAGGAAAUAAUUGAAAUCAUAUUCCUAACAGUAAAAAAAACUAAUUAACACUUUAUUAUUUAAUUAAUUAAUAUUUCUAAUAUUUGUUUUACUAUUUAUCUUAAAUUAAUUAUGAAAAUCAUAUGUGUCUUGAAAUUUUGUAGGGAUUUGGUUUUUAAAAAUAACAUUCUUAAAAAAUUAUGACAUACCAUCUUUUUAAAAAAUAUGCCAAUUUUUAUAAAUCAUAUCAAGUUAUUUUGUGAUAAUGUUGUAAAGAUGACAUAUGAGCAAUCACUUUAAAAAUAAUAUUUAAGUAGAUAUUAAAUUUCAUUAAAGUCACCUUAUAUUAGAGGAAACAAAUUUGUUAUCUAAGAAAAACAAUGUCUUUACUAAAUAUAAACACAAAUAUACACAUAUAUAUACAUAAUUUUGUAGCCAUUGUUUUUCCUUUAUCUAGUAAAAUAAUUCUUUCCUGAUCAGUUGUAACAAAGCAAUUUCAACCUUUUUUUACUUCACAAUAUCUUUAAAAAUGUCUCAUUUUAUUCCAACAACAUAUGUCAUAUUUCUUGUUGUUUGUUUUAUGUUUUUUGAACCUUGCGCCCAUGCAAGAAAUUUUAAUUCUCCGGGCAUCGAAAAUGUCAAUCCAUUCACAUCAACAAUGAAAGUCGCAGAAGAAAACAUUAAGAAGAAUGUUCCUAAAAGAGAAAAUGGUUAUACAACGGCUAGUAUAAUCCAUGGAAAUUAUGCAAGUGGACCCGAUCCGAGUGGAAGAGGACAUGGUAGACCGCCAACUCCACCACACCAUUGAAAAACAAUCGUUUGAACUGUACAUGGUGGAUAUAAUGUGAAUUAGAUAAUAAUAAUUAAUAAUUAAUAAAAAGUUGUGAAAGUUGGAUUUUGUUCAUAUAUAAUGAAAUCAAAUAAUAAACCAACUGAAAAUAAAGAAAACAAAUAAUACAUUUAACAAUAGAAAUUAUUGUGUAUAUUUUAUAGUUAUACAGAAAAU